AUUAAAGUGCCUGAAUAAAGGGUUAUUUUGAUAGAAUAAAUUAUAUAUAAUUAUUUAUAUCUUUAAUA
This 68-nucleotide transfer RNA is filed under the name Parevania sp. ZJUH_2016024. Its description in RNAcentral is "tRNA-Ile". The record is from RNAcentral. Lineage: Eukaryota; Metazoa; Arthropoda; Insecta; Hymenoptera; Evaniidae.